Molecule: ribosomal RNA, 460 nt
Filed under: uncultured bacterium
Lineage: Bacteria
Description: partial 16S ribosomal RNA
Rfam family: Bacterial small subunit ribosomal RNA
Source: RNAcentral
CCUACGGGAGGCAGCAGUGAGGAAUAUUGGUCAAUGGGCGCGAGUCUGAACCAGCCAAGUAGCGUGAAGGAUGACUGCCCUACGGGUUGUAAACUUCUUUUAUAAGGGAAUAAAGUUAGGUAUGUGUGCCUUUUUGUAUGUAUUUUAUGAAUAAGGAUCGGCUAACUCCGUGCCAGCAGCCGCGGUAAUACGGAGGAUCCGAGCGUUAUCCGGAUUUAUUGGGUUUAAAGGGAGCGUAGAUGGGUUGUUAAGUCAGUUGUGAAAGUUUGCGGCUCAACCGUAAAAUUGCAGUUGAUACUGGCAGCCUUGAGUACAGUUGAGGUAGGCGGAAUUCGUGGUGUAGCGGUGAAAUGCUUAGAUAUCACGAAGAACUCCGAUUGCGAAGGCAGCCUACUAGACUGCAACUGACAUUGAUGCUCGAAAGUGUGGGUAUCAAACAGGAUUAGAUACCCCAGUAGUC